RNAcentral lists this ribosomal RNA (497 nucleotides) under uncultured bacterium. RNAcentral's name for it is "partial 16S ribosomal RNA". It matches the Rfam family "Bacterial small subunit ribosomal RNA", at positions 28 to 507 of the family's 1533-position model. The record is from RNAcentral.
GAUGAACGCUGGCGGCGUGCCUAAUACAUGCAAGUCGAGCGAACAGACGAGGAGCUUGCUCCUCUGACGUUAGCGGCGGACGGGUGAGUAACACGGGGAUAACCUACCUAUAAUACUGGGAUAACUUCGGGAAACCGGAGCUAAUACCGGAUAAUAUAUUGAACCGCAUGGUUCAAUAGUGAAAGACGGUUUUGCUGUCACUUAUAGAUGGAUCCGCGCCGCAUUAGCUAGUUGGUAAGGUAACGGCUUACCAAGGCAACGAUGCGUAGCCGACCUGAGAGGGUGAUAGGCCACACUGGAAGUGAGACACGGUCCAGACUCCUACGGGAGGCAGCAGUAGGGAAUCUUCCGCAAUGGGCGAAAGCCUGACGGAGCAACGGCGCGUGAGUGAUGAAGGUCUUCGGAUCGUAAAACUCUGUUAUUAGGGAAGAACACAUGUGUAAGUAACUAUGCACGUCUUGACGGUACCUAAUCAGAAAGCCACGGCUAACUACGUG